RNAcentral lists this ribosomal RNA (452 nucleotides) under uncultured bacterium. RNAcentral's name for it is "bacterial SSU rRNA". It matches the Rfam family "Bacterial small subunit ribosomal RNA", at positions 340 to 786 of the family's 1533-position model. The record is from RNAcentral.
UACGGAAGGCAGCAGUGGGGAAUAUUGCACAAUGGGCGCAAGCCUGAUGCAGCCAUGCCGCGUGUAUGAAAAAGGCCUUCGGGUUGUAAAGUACUUUCAGUCGUGAGGAAGGUGUUAAGGUUAAUAACCUUAGCAAUUGACGUUAGCGACAGAAGAAGCACCGGCUAACUCCGUGCCAGCAGCCGCGGUAAUACGGAGGGUGCGAGCGUUAAUCGGAAUUACUGGGCGUAAAGGGCACGCAGGCGGUUAAUUAAGUUGGAUGUGAAAUCCCCGGGCUUAACCUGGGAAUGGCAUUCAAGACUGGUUAGCUAGAGUCUUGUAGAGGGGGUAGAAUUCCAUGUGUAGCGGUGAAAUGCGUAGAGAUGUGGAGGAUACCGGUGGCGAAGGCGGCCCCUGGACAAAGACUGACGCUCAUGUGCGAAAGCGUGGGGAGCAAACAGGGAUUAGAUACC